CAGCCGCCGCGGUAAUACAGAGGGUGCGAGCGUUAAUCGGAUUUACUGGGCGUAAAGCGUGCGUAGGCGGCUUUUUAAGUCGGAUGUGAAAUCCCUGAGCUUAACUUAGGAAUUGCAUUCGAUUCUGGGAAGCUAGAGUAUGGGAGAGGAUGGUAGAAUUCCAGGUGUAGCGGUGAAAUGCGUAGAGAUCUGGAGGAAUACCGAUGGCGAAGGCAGCCAUCUGGCCUAAUACUGACGCUGAGGUACGAAAGCAUGGGGAGCAAACAGGAUUAGAUACCCGUGUAGUCCCUGUCUCUUAUAC
Molecule: ribosomal RNA, 301 nt
Filed under: uncultured bacterium
Lineage: Bacteria
Description: partial 16S ribosomal RNA
Rfam family: Bacterial small subunit ribosomal RNA
Source: RNAcentral